Molecule: small nucleolar RNA, 107 nt
Organism: Hibiscus syriacus
Lineage: Eukaryota; Viridiplantae; Streptophyta; Magnoliopsida; Malvales; Malvaceae
Source: RefSeq, a predicted model, not a curated record
AAUCCAUGCAUUUGACAUUUUCACAUCAAAUCCUUAAAUUUUUCCUAUGCCUCGUAUAAGCUUUCAUAUUCCAACUAUUUGAAUGAGGUAAGAUCAUUUUAGAGUUU